Long non-coding RNA from Myotis davidii, 1299 nucleotides. RefSeq lists it as uncharacterized. The transcript is spliced from 5 exons. The record is from RefSeq and is a predicted model, not a curated record. NCBI's taxonomy places the organism in Eukaryota, Metazoa, Chordata, Mammalia, Chiroptera, Vespertilionidae.
AAGGGGCGGAGCCGCGUCCGGGCUGCGGUUGGGGAAGCGCCGUCCCUCGGAGGGGCGUGUUGAGGGUUUCGCGGGCUUGAGCGGGGGAUUGGGGGGGAGAAGGGGGCGUUAAAGGCUUGCACCGCGCCCACAGGAAGCUGCUUUAAUGGCUGGGCUUCCUUGGCAGCGGGCUCGCGACAGGGCAGGACCUUGAAGACCACGCGGUUCAACUUCCAGUUUGCAGAUGUGGGAACGGAAGCCCAGAGAGGGUAUGCCACCGGUGCAAGGUUACACAGCUGCUUAGUGGCCUGCUCGGGACUGGACUCCCGCGCUCCGGACUGCCCUUGGCCUUGCACUCAGCUUCCCCCUUCGAGGAGGAAACGGGACAGGGAGAAUGUUUGAAGAAGGAUGUAAGGGCCGGGACCCUGAGCACCGGCACAACCACACCUCUAUGAACGAUUUUCCGAACUCAGGAAACUACUGGAGGAUGUGGUGCACCAAAACGAGAGAAUAAACUAAGAAGCAGGAAGACAUGUGGUCCUAGAAACAGGAUAUUCAACAUAGCAGUGAGGUUCGGUCAUCAAAUUAAUGGUGCAAGUGCAGGAGUGGAAGUGACACAGUUGCUCAGGCUCGCACGGCAGGUGUUCAGUAGUGUUGGAACCAGGAGCCCAAUAAUGAAAGCUACAGCUGACAGAUGCCAGCAAUAGAAUCACAGGAGCAGUCAGAGCUUUACAAACGUCAGUGACAACCAAACUGACUUUCCUUCCUGCACUACCAUCAACCAAGUUUGCCAUCAAACGCUCAGGUGGGACCACCAAUCCUUUGAUUUGGUUUCCCGGGGAAAGCCGUUGUCUGGCUCAGUGUUUUAACAUUAGGUUCUCCUGUCUUUUACUCUUGCAUUUGAACCCAAACACCUUGACCACUUGGCAUGUGUCAGGGUUGGUACAAGAAGGCACAGUCCAUCUUGGUUGGGUGUUUUGCACUGUGCAAAAGAUAGUUUUAUAAAAAACAAAGCUAAAACAACUCUGAGGUCCUAAAACUAAUAUGUAAGUGAGAGGAGAUUCAGUUCUCAUCAGGUGUUGUUGUUCAGUCAAAAAUGUCGCUAAGCACAGAUACAGCGGGAUAAAUGUAUUACCCAGUACUGCUUCUUAUGAUUUGCUGAGAAGAAAAAUCACUAACCCUACCAAUGUGGCUCCAGCUCUUCCUCAUAACAUCCUAGGACCUUUCUGGGUAAUAGAAUAGAAAGGGUUUAUUUAAAGCUGUAGAACUCCUCUUAUAACCCCCAAAUUGCAUACUACACAAAGAUACAUUCUUUUUUUU